CACAACCGUUAUAAACACGUAUACUAUAUUUGUGAACACAUUAACGUGAACUGGCUAAUUUAAUCCAUUAGCAUAGCCAUUUCGACGAGAGGAAGGUUGUCCUCCGAGUCGGAAGAGGGCGGCAGAGAGAAAUCUCUCAGGAAAACAGCCGAGCAUCAACAAACCAAAAUGAUGGCGUGUUAGCGAAGCCGGCUGUUUUGGACACAUUUAUUACUUCGUCAUUAAGUUAAAAUGAAGUUGUAUUGUUUGUCUGGUCACCCCACAUUGCCCUGCAAUGUCCUCAAGUUUAAGUCCACCACCAUCAUGCUGGACUGUGGACUGGACACGACCUCAGUCCUCAAUUUUCUUCCCCUUCCUCUGGUACACAGCCCAAGGCUCUCCAAGCUCACAGGCUGGACCUCAAAAGAUGGAACGGUAAAUCUGGAAAAGGAGCUGAAGGAGUGUGCUGGAAGGGUGUUCGUGGACUCCCAGCCAGAGUUCUGCCUCCCAGAGAGAGAACUGCUGGACCUGUCAACCAUUGAUGUGAUUCUCAUCUCCAACUACCACUGUAUGAUGGCGCUGCCCUACAUCACUGAACACACGGGCUUCACAGGAACGGUGUAUGCCACCGAGCCCACCCUGCAGAUUGGCAGGCUGCUGAUGGAGGAGCUGGUAAACUUCAUGGAGAGAGUUCCUAAAGCCCAGUCUGCCACCUGCUGGAAGAACAAGGACCUGCAGAGGGUUCUUCCUGGGCCGCUGAAGGAAGCUGUUGACGUGUGGACGUGGAAACGAUGCUACAGCAUGCAUGAGGUCAACUCGGCUCUCAGCAAAGUGCAGCUUGUCGGUUAUUCUCAGAAAGUGGAGUUGUUUGGAGCUGUUCAGGUCUCCCCGUUGAGCUCUGGCUACUCGUUGGGAAGCUCCAACUGGAUCAUCCAGUCCCAUCACGAGAAGGUGUCUUACGUGUCUGGGUCAUCCCUCCUCACCACACACCCACAGCCGAUGGAUCAGAGCUCGCUGAAGAACAGCGACGUUCUCAUUUUGACUGGCCUCACACAGAUGCCCACUGCUAACCCAGAUGGCAUGCUGGGAGAGUUCUGCAGCAACCUGGCCAUGACGAUCCGGGCAGGAGGCAACGUGCUGGUACCGUGUUACUCCUCAGGGGUCAUCUAUGACCUGCUGGAGUGUCUGUACCAGUUCAUCGAGAGCGCCAACCUGGGGACCACACCCUUCUACUUCAUCUCUCCUGUAGCCAACAGCUCGCUGGAGUUCUCCCAGAUCUUUGCUGAGUGGCUUUGUCAUAAUAAACAAACAAAGGUGUAUCUGCCAGAGCCGCCGUUUCCACAUGCAGAGCUGAUCCAGACCAACAAGCUGAAGCACUACCCCAGCAUCCACGGGGACUUCAGCAGCGAGUUCCGGCAGCCGUGCGUGGUCUUCACCGGCCACCCGUCUCUGCGCUUCGGGGAUGUGGUUCACUUCAUGGAGCUGUGGGGCAAGUCCAGCCUGAAUACAGUCAUCUUUACUGAGCCAGACUUCUCCUACCUGGAUGCUCUGGCCCCUUAUCAGCCGUUAGCCAUGAAGUGUGUUUACUGUCCGAUUGACACGCGGCUCAACUUCCACCAGGUGUCCAAACUGCUGAAGGAGGUCCAGCCCCUCCAUGUGGUGUGUCCGGAGCAGUACACCCAGCCCCCCCUCAGCCAGUCCCAUCGCUCUGACCUGAUGCUGGAGCUGACGCCCCCUCCCAUGCCCUACAGGCGCUGCUCCGUACUCAACCUGCCCUUCAGACGCCGCUACGAGCGCGUUUACAUCCUCCCUGAGGGCAGCUUUACACCGGGAUCAUGAACGAAGAGGCCUGCCUCACGUCAGGUGGAAGCCCGCUCCGCUCUGAUUUCACAGUGCAUGUCAGGAACGCAUAAGAGCUGGUGGUUAGCGGACCUCUGAGAUGUAGUGGGCACGUAGGGGAUGAGCAGCUCAGAUAGAUGAGGAGGGGCUUCGUAGACAAACGUUAGAAGCAUCUACUGAACCCUGAAGAGAACGGAGCCAGAGUUGGCGUGAUGCGUCUACGUCUGUUCGUGUUUAAGAAGCGCGCCACAGCAUUCGGUACUGUCUGAAGACAGUCAAGGGAGGAUUUACUAGUACCUAGGAGGAUGGAAUUAGCAUAAUCUAACCUAGAGGUUGUGGAAGCACGGAUGACGGAUUGCAGGUGAGAUCUUGUGAGAACGUGUUAACCAGCGGAGUAAGAAGCAGAACUAUUCCUGGUUAUAAGUAGGAAAACCAACCUCCAGUAAGUAAAAGCUUCCAGUUAAAUAUGAAAGUUGAAUAUUCAGCUGACGGUGAUUCUUCUUUUUGUAGCUCGCCAACUCACUGACGCCCAAUGAGGUAAAACCUGGUGUCUCCGUGGCAACCGUCUCCGCAGUGCUGCACUCAAAGGACAAUAAGCACACUCUGCAGUCGGUGCCCAAACCGCCACCCGUGGCCCCCAGCAAGAAGAGGAAGAGGGUAGUGGAGGAGCCUCCUGUGGGUUUGGCCCCCAAACCCCUCCUGAGUGGAGCUGUGCCCCUGGAAAGUUUCCUGGUCACAUUACAGAAG
This is a non-coding RNA of Nothobranchius furzeri (turquoise killifish), 2565 nucleotides long. The record is from RefSeq and is a predicted model, not a curated record. Lineage: Eukaryota; Metazoa; Chordata; Actinopteri; Cyprinodontiformes; Nothobranchiidae.